ACCCUGCUCGGCUUACUAUUUUUGUUAACAAUAGGUCAAGAGGUCUGUAUGCUAAUUUGCGUGCUGAUAACAAGCUUUGAUGUUGCAAAUCAACUGUCAGAUCAAAGCCCGGCCUUGCAGACCCACGAGGGUUUGGCAGCCACAAUCUCCAACCUCCCUGUUUUCAGAGACCAAUUAACACCUGCCUCCAUUUAAUUGCCUGAUGCCCUACACACUGCAAAAAUGCUUAGCAGGUGAUUAGCGAUGCAAAAUAGGUGCUGGCGAGACCAGUCAGCCAAAGCCUGCAUGUUUAAAAACUCCUGUAAAGUUGAGCCAAUCAUUUGGGCGGCUGUUCCCCAGGCAGAGCUCUCGGCAUGCUAAAAAGAGGUCAAGAUGAAACCUGCCGAGAGGAUUCUGAGACUCACAAGUGAGCGUUUGGUAAAUUAAGAUGCAAAGGAACAUGCACAACGUGCGUUUUUGGACUAUUGAUUAACAUCCUUUUAAAACAGUAGGUGUCAGCUUCCCUGGGGAAAUCAGCGGCUUUCAGAGUCACCCUGCCUGGUGUCCCGUCCUCACAGCUGGCUGUGACAAGACCUCGUACCCAACCAUGAGGCAACCAAGAGACUUGGGAAGAGACAGCUGACUUCCAAUGCAGUACACCAACUAAAAAAAUGGAGCACCAUCCACCCGGAGCUGAUCCGAGUCAUCAGUCAAUCUGUAGAUGUGCACUGAGCUCUGAACCCAUCAGACUCCAACUGCUGCAUCCUAAAUUACUCCCAACAGCUGUUUGCGAUCAAGCCACUUUGCACCAUUGAUGACUCUUUCCCUGAGGAAUAAAACUUAAUGGGUGAAGAAUUUGAGAAUUUGAAGUCUCAAAUUGAGCGAGUACAAGCAUCUGUGAUUGAAGGUGAUCAAACUGACUGUACAAAGCCAAAGGUUUUGAUGGAUGCACAUGCUAUAUUGAACUGUAAUAAAUGAAACCCCAUAUUGAACAUGGAGGAAUACAAAACAAUUUAUCACCGACAUGCCGUUUGUGUUUUUAAUUUUAGC
Molecule: long non-coding RNA, 1029 nt
Organism: Cyprinus carpio carpio
Lineage: Eukaryota; Metazoa; Chordata; Actinopteri; Cypriniformes; Cyprinidae
Source: Ensembl